AACGCGAAGAACCUUACCUGGGCUCGAACGGCUUACGACAGGGGUGGAAACACCCUCUCCCCUUAAAAGGCGUGAGUCGAGGUGCUGCAUGGCUGUCGUCAGCUCGUGUCGUGAGAUGUUGGGUUAAGUCCCGCAACGAGCGCAACCCUUGUCCUGUGUUACUCGCCGCAAGGCAGACUCGCAGGAGACCGCCAGCGAUAAGCUGGAGGAAGGUGGGGAUGACGUCAAGUCCUCAUGGCCUUUAUGUCCAGGGCUACACACGUGCUACAAUGGGCGGUACAAAGCGCUGCUAAGCCGCAAGGUGGAGCCAAUCGCAAAAAAGCCGCUCUCAGUUCGGAUUGCAGGCUGCAACUCGCCUGCAUGAAGCUGGAAUCGCUAGUAAUGCUAUAUCAGAACGAUAGCGUGAAUACGUUCCCGGGCCUUGUACACACCGGAGUA
RNAcentral lists this ribosomal RNA (438 nucleotides) under uncultured bacterium. RNAcentral describes it as "bacterial SSU rRNA". It matches the Rfam family "Bacterial small subunit ribosomal RNA", at positions 958 to 1398 of the family's 1533-position model. The record is from RNAcentral.